Molecule: ribosomal RNA, 482 nt
Filed under: Streptococcus sanguinis
Lineage: Bacteria; Bacillati; Bacillota; Bacilli; Lactobacillales; Streptococcaceae
Description: bacterial SSU rRNA
Rfam family: Bacterial small subunit ribosomal RNA
Source: RNAcentral
GACGAACGCUGGCGGCGUGCCUAAUACAUGCAAGUAGAACGCUGAAGAGAGGAGCUAGCUCUUCUUGGAUGAGUUGCGAACGGGUGAGUAACGCGUAGGUAACCUGCCUGGUAGCGGGGGAUAACUAUUGGAAACGAUAGCUAAUACCGCAUAAAAUUGAUUAUUGCAUGAUAAUUAAUUGAAAGAUGCAAUUGCAUCACUACCAGAUGGACCUGCGUUGUAUUAGCUAGUUGGUGAGGUAACGGCUCACCAAGGCGACGAUACAUAGCCGACCUGAGAGGGUGAUCGGCCACACUGGGACUGAGACACGGCCCAGACUCCUACGGGAGGCAGCAGUAGGGAAUCUUCGGCAAUGGGGGGAACCCUGACCGAGCAACGCCGCGUGAGUGAAGAAGGUUUUCGGAUCGUAAAGCUCUGUUGUAAGAGAAGAACGGGUGUGAGAGUGGAAAGUUCACACUGUGACGGUAUCUACCAGAAAGGCC